AUUGAACGCUGGCGGCAGGCCUAACACAUGCAAGUCGAACGGUAACAGGAAACAGCUUGCUGUUUCGCUGACGAGUGGCGGACGGGUGAGUAAUGUCUGGGAAACUGCCUGAUGGAGGGGGAUAACUACUGGAAACGGUAGCUAAUACCGCAUAACGUCGCAAGACCAAAGAGGGGGACCCUCGGGCCUCUUGCCAUCGGAUGUGCCCAGAUGGGAUUAGCUUGUUGGUGGGGUAACGGCUCACCAAGGCGACGAUCCCUAGGUGGUCUGAGAGGAUGACCAGCCACACUGGAACUGAGACACGGUCCAGACUCCUACGGGAGGCAGCAGUGGGGAAUAUUGCACAAUGGGCGCAAGCCUGAUGCAGCCAUGCCGCGUGUAUGAAGAAGGCCUUCGGGUUGUAAAGUACUUUCAGCGGGGAGGAAGGGAGUAAAGUUAAUACCUUUGCUCAUUGACGUUACCCGCAGAAGAAGCACCGGCUAACUCCGUG
RNAcentral lists this ribosomal RNA (490 nucleotides) under uncultured bacterium. Its description in RNAcentral is "partial 16S ribosomal RNA". It matches the Rfam family "Bacterial small subunit ribosomal RNA", at positions 30 to 507 of the family's 1533-position model. The record is from RNAcentral.